This 2925-nucleotide long non-coding RNA is filed under the name Theobroma cacao (cacao). RNAcentral's name for it is "long non-coding RNA (TCAC_LNC000314)". The record is from RNAcentral. Lineage: Eukaryota; Viridiplantae; Streptophyta; Magnoliopsida; Malvales; Malvaceae.
CACUCUCUUUUGGCCGGCCAAAGCAAAGAACAAAGAGAAAAAGAGAAGAACAAACCCUAGGAAGGAAAAAUUCAAGAGAAAUUGAUGGAUUUUAAGGAAUCAAGCAAGUAAAGGUAAGAUUUUUUAAUUUUAGCUUGUGAUCUACCUUUCCCAUGCAUUCUUUUUCAUUUUUCAUGGCUGAAAUUCAAUUUUUCAAGAGGGAACCUUUGCUGUCCAAAUCUAGAGAGAGAAGUUUUGGUGAUGAAUUUUGCUAGAUUUCAUAAUAUCCUAGUGUUUUUAAUCAUUUUAUGAUGUUUGGAAGGAAAAACAAGCAAGAAAAUCACAUGUUCUUCAACCACCCUCAUUUGGCCGAAUUUUCUAUAGGGGAUGUUGAUGAUGGAUUUGGUUGUAUUGCAUGUUAUUUAGCUAGGAAUUGAUGAAUUAUGGGGUUGGAUAUCGAAACCGGUUAUUGAAAAAUAUAGUUCCUUUAGAAAAUGGCUUGAUGAAAAAUGAGAAAAUCAUAAUAAAUGGACUUGGAUUUGAUUCCUAAUGAUAUAUAUAUGGAUUUACGAGAUUAUGUAGACAUUGAUUAGUAUGUUAGUUCGGAAUCGGAAUGAAUUUUGGAAAAUGGUGAAGUUAGUCAAAAAUCAAGUUCAUUGAAAUGCUUUGGUGUAUUAGAUCAUUGGUAGUGGAAUGAGUAUAUUUGGAGUUGAAUCGGAUGUUUUGGCUAAAUCAAUCAUGUAUAGUUCGAAUUAGGCCGAAUACAAAUUCAUUCUGAUCACAAUUGAACCUACAUAGAAUACCGUCUUUAAGUUAUUAUUCGGACAAUUCUCAUUCAAUGUCAUGCAUUCAUAUAGAGCCUGAAAUAGUUUUAUAACAGUUUGGCACAAAUAUAUUGAAUUACAUGUCGUGCAUUAUUUAUAGGUGGUGACCCCUUUGAUAAGGGUAAAGAUAUUGUGCCCGAGGACCAAGAAUAGGAGUACUCCAAACUCCUGCUAUUGUGAGUAAUCAGACUUUCAUCUUAACUAUCUAAAGUAGUUUAUACUCGUUUUUAUGUUUUAAGGAAAAAUAAAUUUAAAUUGCAAACUAUUAUUUUUUAUAAUUGAAGUGUUGAUUAAACGAAAUGAGAUUUGUAACUUGUUUUGAAAUUGAAUACUGGUUUUGGAAAUUGAGUAAAUGGAGACUGUAUACUUGUGUUAUAUAUAUGUUUUGACAUAUGGUUUGAAUUGAUGGCUUAUGACAAUGUGAUGGCAAUCAUGGCUGGAUUUGUGUUUAUGUGGAAUAUAUGAACUGUUUUGCUUUGCCUUGACAGGCUAGUAAUAUUAUAUUAGCCAUGUCAUGCUGUCAAAAAUUUUAUUGAAUUGGUGGAUUAUUUGAUUAGCUUACUGCAAUGGGCGGGUUUCCAUGGACCAGCCUAUUAGAGGGGUACGGUAAACCCCGUUAUAUUUUACCUUAGUAUGAGAGGCGCGGAGGGUAUCUCCUAAAAUAAAGUUAGAGUUCACCUCACGCCGAACCAUCACGUGAGGGUGAAACUUAGACAAUGCCAAGGAACGGUUGUACUUUUAAAUGUAAAAAAUGAGUUUUAUACUUAUAUGUUAUUUUAACAGCCUUGGCGGACUUGGUUGGAUGCCCAACGCAAGGUGUCACCGAGUGUAAGUUUUUGGCACGAGCCAAGUUUUAAGAGAAUCAUAAGCCUUGUUUAUUUUUAUGAAAUGAAAUUGAUUUAUAUGAAAUGAAAGGAGAUUCGAUGUUAUGAAUCAUAUUAUGACGAGAUAUUUUAAAUUGUCUCCAUUUACUCGAUUUUAGAUAUUUUAGAUAAAAUUUGCUUACUCACUAAGUUUAUAAAAACUCACCCCUUCUUUUCACCCAUUUCAGGCUCAAGGCAGUCUGUAGACUGCUGAUUAUGUCGAGGGUUUGCUUUUGGGUUUGCACCCAUAGAAAUUGCAAGUCUAUAGUCUUGUACAUAUAUGUUUAUUUUGGAGGCCCACAUGUCAUUGUAGAAUAUUUUGUAUACCUGGCUGCGUGUGCCACUGUAUGUAUGAAUUUAUUUUGCUUUUACGCUAUAAAAAUUACGCAGAGUUUUAUAAAUAUUGUUUUAUAAGAAAAUGGAAUAUUUUUAUUUAAUAUUUUUAUUUAGUUUGAUUAGCCAAAAUUUUAUUUUAAAUGGAUGAUUUAGAUUACUAAAAUUAUUUUAGAUAAGAAAUGCAUAUUUUUCGAUAGUAUGCUGUAUUUUUACCAAGUUUCAAAAUUUUUGAGUAAAAAAGACCAAAAUACCCCUGUGUGGUAGAAAUUAUUUUUUUGUUUAUUUUGAUUUAAGAAUAGUUUAUAUUCCCUUAAAACAUGAUAUUUAGUAACUAUUGCUCACAGGGGAGAUGUAAAAUUGAUGCGAGAGCCUUGCGAGGUUUAGGUUGACAGUUCGGGUAAUGAAUGUCUAUCGAGACAUCGCGACGGAUGUCACGGGCUCGAAGGGAGUACCGGGUCAUGACAAAAUAUUUAAUUAUAAAUGGAGAUUUAUACCCAACAUAUAUUGCUAACCUCCUUUGAGGACCCAUCUUUAGAUAUGAAAUAUUUGGUUCCUGACCGUAAACCAAUCGUAUAAGGAGGAAUUUAUAAUAACUCAUUUGGCUUGAUGCAUACAAUGCUGCUACAUCCAAAAUGGCGUGCCCCCAAAUAGACAUUGGGAGUUUAAAUUUCAUAAGUAAUAGCCUUGCAAUUAGUUGGAAAUGUUAAAUAAAUGAUUCUACUAGAUUGUUUUGUUUAUGAACAUAAGUAACAAGCUGUUCAAUAGUUAUUCCAACUAAUAUAUAAUAUUCAUUAAAGCUUAAGAUGUAAAUUCACCAACAUUGUAAAGACAAAUAGUCUUGAUUACAUAACUUGGAAAAUGUAAUUGCAAAUGAAUGAUUGCAAAUGCCAAAUUACAAGCUGAUAAUAAGCAGAUAUAUGACA